AACGAACGCUGGCGGCAGGCCUAACACAUGCAAGUCGAACGAACCUUUAUGGUGAGUGGCGCACGGGUGCGUAACACGUGGGAAUAUACAUUUCGGUAAGGAAUAACGUAGAGAAAUUUGCGCUAAUACCUUAUAAUGACUCCGGUCCAAAGAUUUAUCGCCGAAGGAUUAGCCCGCGUCUGAUUAGGUAGUUGGUAGGGAAAAAGCCUACCAAGCCGACGAUCAGUAGCUGGUCUGAGAGGAUGAUCAGCCACACUGGAACUGAGACACGGUCCAGACUCCUACGGGAGGCAGCAGUGAGGAAUAUUGGACAAUGGGGGAAACCCUGAUCCAGCCAUGCCGCGUGAGUGACGAAGGCCUUAGGGUUGUAAAGCUCUUUCGGAUGCGAAGAUAAUGACGGUAACAUCAGAAGAAGCUCCGGCUAAAUUCGUGCCAGCCGCCGCAGUAC
Molecule: ribosomal RNA, 448 nt
Filed under: uncultured bacterium
Lineage: Bacteria
Description: partial 16S ribosomal RNA
Rfam family: Bacterial small subunit ribosomal RNA
Source: RNAcentral